This 355-nucleotide long non-coding RNA is filed under the name Apteryx owenii (little spotted kiwi). Its description in RNAcentral is "lncRNA (ENSAOWG00000018905.1)". The record is from RNAcentral. Lineage: Eukaryota; Metazoa; Chordata; Aves; Apterygiformes; Apterygidae.
CUGCUGCAUACUUCAAACAAUAGGAAAUGUCACUUUUUUUUUUCAUAAUGCAGAACACCAUCUGGAUUGGCAUGAAAUGCAUCUGGAAAAUUGCAUGGAGCUGGACAUAAUUCCCUAUGAGAAAAGAAUGCAUCUGAGCGCCUGGUGAGCACCAGUGCCAGCCUGGGAUCAGACUUUCUAUGCCUGUGAAAGUGUAUGAAAAGGAUGCAUAUUACUGUUUGAGUGAGAACUUUGUGGACUACUGCAGUCUUCAUUGUGUUUGUUGUGAGCGUUCAAGAUGCAUCUCAAAUAGAACUUUGGUUUAUACUUAUUUCAGUGUCAUGUUGUUUAUUCUCAUUAAAAAUUCUUGUUAGAU